Long non-coding RNA from Gracilinanus agilis (Agile Gracile Mouse Opossum), 922 nucleotides. RefSeq lists it as uncharacterized. The record is from RefSeq and is a predicted model, not a curated record. NCBI's taxonomy places the organism in Eukaryota, Metazoa, Chordata, Mammalia, Didelphimorphia, Didelphidae. The transcript has 3 exons.
AAAUUAGGAUUUCCUCCACCCCCUCUGCUGUCUUGAUGCUCGCCGGGCUGAGACGGAGGCGCUGAGGAGAAUUGGAAACACCAAGUGAUUUGGCCCUGAGGUGAAUUUUUUUUUUUUUUAAAUGGAGAAGUUGGUGGCUGUGGUAGCGGCUGAAAGGAGGAGAGGAAACAGCUGAGGGGGAAAAAAAAGGUUGACUGGAGAUCUGAAAACAGAAAGAUUUCUGCCAUUUACUCACAGAGAGGCAGUGAGAGUAGAAUCAGCAUCCAGUACAAAGGUAAAAGAAGCUUGUUUGCUAUGUGUUCUGGACUCAUAGAUUUAGCGGAAUUCCCCAAAUUGUGCUUUACAAGCACAAUGAUCACUGGCACACAUAGCAAGAAAAGUGAAAUUCUUCAAUAAGGUAAUCUUUUGAUUAUGGAUUCAGUUUUACCUAUGCUGAGCAAUUUUUUUUGAAAUUAGUUUACUUAAAAUUUUUUUUGAUAUCUUUUGGUUUCAUAUCAUCUCCAUUGCCAAAUGUAUACUUCCCCAGAAAACCAUUCCUUUUAACAAUAAAUUUUAAAAAAAGAAAAAGAAAAAAACACUUCAACAAUACUGACCAGCACACCAUUCAAGUCAAAUAUAUGUACAGACAAUCCUCAACUUUUCACAGGGGUAGUAUCCUAGAAAAUAGCAGAAAAGUCAAAAUUGCUAAUGUUUAUACAUAGAACCUAUGACAAAUAAGGGGGUAGGUUCUCAUGACCACCAAAAAUAAUGUUUUACUAGAGAUUGCUGAAAUAUACUUUUCUGCCUAUAAUUCUUUAUAACAAAACAUUCCAAUAAUAUAUACUUUUCCUAACACAAUAAUCAUGAAAUAACCCAUAAAAUGCAGUACACAAAAUAAAAUUGAUGACAUGUAAAACAUCUUUUCUUGCUAUUAAUUCCUUAG